GUAGCCUAAAGUCAGAUUAAGCUAGUUGUGGGGUAAAGGACCCGACCAAGGCGACGAUCGUGUAACUAGGUCUGAGAGGAUGGAUCAGUCACACCGGAACUGAGACACGGUCCGGACUCCUACGGGAGGCAGCAGUGGGGAAUAUUGGACAAUGGGGGCAACCCGUGAUCCCAGCCAAUGCCGCGUGUGUGAAGAAGGCCUUUUGGUUGUAAAGCACUUUAAGCAGGGAGGAGAGGCUAAUGGUUAAUACCCAUUAGAUUAGACGUUACCUGCAGAAUAAGCACCGGCUAACUCUGUGCCAGCAGCCGCGGUAAUACAGAGGGUGCGAGCGUUAAUCGGAAUUACUGGGCGUAAAGCGAGUGUAGGUGGCUCAUUAAGUCACAUGUGAAAUCCCCCGGGCUUAACCUGGGAACUGCAUGUGAUACUGGUGGUGCUAGAAUAUGUGAGAGGAAGUAGAAUUCCAGGUGUAGCGGUGAAAUGCGUAGAGAUCUGGAGGAAUACCGAUGGCGAAGGCAG
RNAcentral lists this ribosomal RNA (516 nucleotides) under uncultured bacterium. RNAcentral's name for it is "bacterial SSU rRNA". It matches the Rfam family "Bacterial small subunit ribosomal RNA", at positions 225 to 724 of the family's 1533-position model. The record is from RNAcentral.